UACGGAGGAUGCAAGCGUUAUCCGGAUUUAUUGGGUUUAAAGGGUGCGUAGGCGGACUGUCAAGUCAGCGGUAAAAUUGAGAGGCUCAACCUCUUCCCGCCGUUGAAACUGGUGGUCUUGAGUGGAUGAGAAGUACGCGGAAUGCGUGGUGUAGCGGUGAAAUGCAUAGAUAUCACGCAGAACUCCCAUUGCGAAGGCAGCGUACCGGCAUCCAACUGACGCUGAGGCACGAAAGCGUGGGGAUCAAACAGG
RNAcentral lists this ribosomal RNA (252 nucleotides) under uncultured bacterium. RNAcentral's name for it is "partial 16S ribosomal RNA". It matches the Rfam family "Bacterial small subunit ribosomal RNA", at positions 524 to 776 of the family's 1533-position model. The record is from RNAcentral.